AGAUGAACUCUGAGCCUGUUAAGGAACUCAGGUAUCAAUACGUCCAGAGAGUCAUGGAGCUUGAAGCCAGUGAAGAUGAACACACAGUUGGGUGAGGCCAGUUUCAACUUGGAAAAAAGAUGCCGCUGUGGAAGAAAUGUGAUUGGGAAGAGGGCAACUGCAAAUGUUCCAGGCCAGAGGGGGCUAACAUUACCAUGUCAGCAGCAAUAUCUAAUGACAGACUGCAGCUGCAGAAGGCCAUCAUUGGCCCAUACAAUACAGCACACCUUAUUGUUUUUCUUGAUGAAUUGUAUGGAAAACUUUCAGCAGCAAGAGAGAGGCAGAAUUUACCAGUAUUUGUGAUUGUGUGGGACAAUGUGGCCUUUCAUCAUUCCCGCUAACUUACUGAGUUGCUUACUGCCCAUCCCAGGAUAAUGUCAUUAUUCUUGCCACCAUACUCUCCAUUGCUCAACCCCAUUGAAGAUUUUUUUCUGCAUGGAGAUGGAAAGUAUAUGACCAUCGCCCACAUGAUCAGAUGUCGCUAUUAGAUGCAAUGGCUGCUGGGUGUAUGGACAUUCAUGUGGAGGACAUCCAGAGCUGGAUUAGGCACUCAAAGAGAUUUUUUCCCUCGGUGUAUUGCAAGAGAAAAUGUUUGGUGUGAUGUCGAUGAAAAUUUAUGGUCAAAUGCAGAGGACCAAAUGGAUUAGGCCAGGUCAACAGUAUACUUGACUGAAUAUAGUGAACGUUUACUAUU
Molecule: non-coding RNA, 733 nt
Organism: Paramormyrops kingsleyae
Lineage: Eukaryota; Metazoa; Chordata; Actinopteri; Osteoglossiformes; Mormyridae
Source: RefSeq, a predicted model, not a curated record